RNAcentral lists this ribosomal RNA (306 nucleotides) under Hyalomma lusitanicum. RNAcentral describes it as "partial large subunit ribosomal RNA". The record is from RNAcentral. Lineage: Eukaryota; Metazoa; Arthropoda; Arachnida; Ixodida; Ixodidae.
AAAAAAAACUUUCUUAAAAAUAAAAAUUAAAUUUUUUUUAAUUUGUGCAAAAACAAUUAUUGUUAUUAAAGACAAGAAGACCCUAAGAAUUUACGAUUUUACAAUUAGAAAGUUUUUUUUUUUAAAAUCUUGGUUGGGGCGAUCAAAAAAUAUCAAUAACUUUUUAAAAUUUAAAUUGACCUAUUAUUAAUAAACUAAUGAAUUAAAUACUCUAGGGAUAACAGCGUAAUAAUUUUUGAUAGAUCUUAUUGACAAAAUAGUUUGCGACCUCGAUGUUGGAUUAGGAUUCUUUUUUAAUGAAGAUGU